UACAGGGGGGGCAAGCGUUGUUCGGAAUUACUGGGCGUAAAGGGCUCGUAGGCGGCCAACUAAGUCACACGUGAAAUCCCCAGGCUUAACCUGGGAACUGCGUGUGAUACUGGAUGGCUUGAAUUCGGGAGAGGGAUGCAGAAUUCCAGGUGUAGCGGUGAAAUGCGUAGGUAUCUGGAGGAAUACCGGUGGCGAAGGCGGCAUCCUGGACCGACAUUGACGCUGAGGAGCGAAAGCUAGGGGAGCAAACGGG
RNAcentral lists this ribosomal RNA (253 nucleotides) under uncultured bacterium. Its description in RNAcentral is "partial 16S ribosomal RNA". It matches the Rfam family "Bacterial small subunit ribosomal RNA", at positions 524 to 776 of the family's 1533-position model. The record is from RNAcentral.